CGGGUGAGUAACACGUGAGUAACCUGCCCUCUUCUUUGGGAUAACGCCCGGAAACGGGUGCUAAUACUGGAUAUACACUGGCCUUCGCAUGGGGGUUGGUGGAAAGGUUUGUUCUGGUGGGGGAUGGGCUCGCGGCCUAUCAGCUUGUUGGUGGGGUGAUGGCCUACCAAGGCUUUGACGGGUAGCCGGCCUGAGAGGGUGACCGGUCACAUUGGGACUGAGAUACGGCCCAGACUCCUACGGGAGGCAGCAGUGGGGAAUAUUGCACAAUGGGCGAAAGCCUGAUGCAGCGACGCCGCGUGAGGGAUGGAGGCCUUCGGGUUGUAAACCUCUUUCGCUCAUGGUCAAGCCGCAACUGUGGGUUGUGGUGAGGGUAGUGGGUAAAGAAGCGCCGGCUAACUACGUGCCAGCAGCCGCGGUAAUACGUAGGGCGCGAGCGUUGUCCGGAAUUAUUGGGCGUAAAGGGCUUGUAGGCGGUUGGUCGCGUCUGCCGUGAAAUUCUCUGGCUUAACU
Molecule: ribosomal RNA, 513 nt
Filed under: uncultured Actinomycetes bacterium
Lineage: Bacteria; Bacillati; Actinomycetota; Actinomycetes
Description: bacterial SSU rRNA
Rfam family: Bacterial small subunit ribosomal RNA
Source: RNAcentral